CCUACGGGGGGCAGCAGUGGGGAAUAUUGGGCAAUGGGCGCAAGCCUGACCCAGCAACGCCGCGUGAAGGAUGAAGGUUUUCUGAUCGUAAACCUCUGUCAGGAGGGAAGAAAGCGCAUGGCGCCAAUCAGCCAUGCGUUGACGGUACCUCCAAAGGCAGCGCCGGCUAACUCCGUGCCAGCAGCCGCGGUAAUACGGAGGGCGCGAGCGUUAAUCGGAAUUACUGGGCGUAAAGCGCGCGUAGGCUGGUGUGUAAGUUGGGGGUGAAAUCCCACGGCUCAACCGUGGAACAGCCCUUGAUACUGCGCGACUUGAAUCCGGGAGAGGGUGGCGGAAUUCCAGGUGUAGGAGUGAAAUCCGUAGAUAUCUGGAGGAACAUCAGUGGCGAAGGCGGCCACCUGGACCGGGAUUGACGCUGAGGCGCGAAAGCGUGGGGAGCAAACAGGAUUAGAUACCCUUGUAGUC
Molecule: ribosomal RNA, 465 nt
Filed under: uncultured bacterium
Lineage: Bacteria
Description: partial 16S ribosomal RNA
Rfam family: Bacterial small subunit ribosomal RNA
Source: RNAcentral